RNAcentral lists this ribosomal RNA (512 nucleotides) under uncultured bacterium. Its description in RNAcentral is "partial 16S ribosomal RNA". It matches the Rfam family "Bacterial small subunit ribosomal RNA", at positions 28 to 523 of the family's 1533-position model. The record is from RNAcentral.
GAUGAACGCUGGCGGCAUGCCUAAUACAUGCAAGUCGAACGAGAGGAAGGAAAGCUUGCUUUUCUGAAUCUAGUGGCGAACGGGUGAGUAACACGUAGGUAACCUGCCCAUGUGCCCGGGAUAACUUCUGGAAACGGAUGCUAAAACCGGAUAGGUAGCAGACAAGCAUUUGACUGCUAUUAAAGUGGCUAAGGCCAUGAACAUGGAUGGACCUGCGGUGCAUUAGCUAGUUGGUGAGGUAACGGCCCACCAAGGCGACGAUGCAAAGCCGGCCUGAGAGGGCGGAAGGCCACAGUGGGACUGAGGCACGGCCCAAACUCCUACGGGAGGCAGCAGUAGGGAAUUUUCGUCAAUGGGGGGAACCCUGAACGAGCAAUGCCGCGUGAGUGAGGAAGGUCUUCGGAUCGUAAAGCUCUGUUGUAAGAGAAAAACGACAUUCAUAGGGAAUGAUGAGUGAGUGAUGGUAUCUUACCAGAAAGUCACGGCUAACUACGUGCCAGCCGCCGCAGUAA